UGGGGAAUAUUGGACAAUGGGCGCAAGCCUGAUCCAGCAACGCCGCGUGGAGGACGAAGGUCUUCGGAUCGUAAACUCCUGUCAGACGGGACGAAGACAGCGGGGUAAAUAGCCCUGCUGUUUGACGGUACUGUCAGAGGAAGCCCCGGCUAACUCCGUGCCAGCAGCCGCGGUAAUACGAGGGGGGCAAAUGUUGUUCGGAAUCACUGGGCGUAAAGGGAGCGUAGGCGGGUUUUUAAGUUGGAUGUUUAACCCCGGGGCCCAACCCCGGAUCGGCAUCCAAAACUGGGAAUCUUGAAUAGGGGAGAGGUCAGUGGAAUUGGAGGUGUAGCGGUGGAAUGCGUAGAGAUCUCCAAGAACACCAGUUGCGAAGGCGGCUGACUGGACCCAUAUUGACGCUGAGGCUCGAAAGCAUGGGGAGCAAA
RNAcentral lists this ribosomal RNA (425 nucleotides) under uncultured bacterium. RNAcentral describes it as "bacterial SSU rRNA". It matches the Rfam family "Bacterial small subunit ribosomal RNA", at positions 355 to 772 of the family's 1533-position model. The record is from RNAcentral.